UAAAGAUUUAUUUAUUUAUUAUAUAUACAAUGUUCUGUUUUCAUGUAUCCCUGCAGGCCAGAAGAGGGAGCCAGAUGGUAGUGAGCCACCAUGUGGGUGCUGGGAAUUGAACUCAGGACCUCUGGAAGAACAGUCGGUGCUCUUAACCUCUGAGCCAUCUCUCCAGCCCCUCUCUUUUCUUUUGAAGUGGGCUCUUCCAAGGCGGCCUCCAACUCACAACCCUGCUCUGGGGUACAGGCUUGCAUCACUGGCCACAUCCUUUCCUCUUUUGGCUUCUCUUGGUGAUUCUAGAUCUAAAGGCCUUCCAGAUGACCCCUUCCUCAAGCCAGAGGCGCAGGGUGGAGGCCCUGAGGGAUGCUUGCAGAUGGCACACCGUACGCACUGGCAGACACUGCCCGAAUGGCUGCUUCUCCCGCUGUACCCUUCACGCUCGUGUGUGAGUGCUCAGGAAGUGACCGGGGCUUGGGAAGACAGGCUUCUGGCUGUAGGCCUUGGGCGCCAUUUGCUUUCCCGGCACUCAUUGUCUUGUUGUUGUUGAGACAGGGUCUUACUCUGUCGUCUAAAGUGGCCUUGAACAUUCACAUAGAUCCAGUUCCCCCAGCCUUCUGAGUGCGGCUGGGAUUACAGGCAGGAGCCACCACGCCCAGCUUUUGGUCACUGCCUCCAGCUUGCUGGGGUGUGGGCUUAGGUUCCUUCUCCUACCUAGACUGACACCUUGGCCAGAGAAUUCUCCCUGCUCACAACUACCAGGAGGUCGAGACCACAUGGGGGAACUGCUCCAACAGCUUCAGCCGUUUGCUCCUCCCACAGUGGCCAUAGGGGGCUUCAUGCCUUUGGAGACCUCAACCCGCCAGAACGACUUGAGGGAGAGGAUGGUGUCUUGGCCACGAAAACAAAGACAACGCAAGCUCUUUGGAACAUCUGUGGUUUCUGCCUCUCAGCUUCCAGUCCCUCAUCUUCACAGAGGCCCAGUGGGGGAGGAGUGGGAAGGGUUGACCCUAGUCCGGCCUGGAGCUCUAUUUGUAUGGUGACCCUGCUUGUAGCUGUCAUUUCCCAGUUAUAAUGCUGAGGUGGGCUUGGAGGCAGGGAGGGUUGAAAAUCAGGAACUGGGGCUGGAGAUGGAGCUCUAGAUUCAACCCCCAGCACCUCAUAACCUGACAGGGUAGUGCUCACCUGUAUUCCCAGCACUUGGGAGAUGAGGCAGGAAGAUGGGGAGUUUAUUGUCAUCCUCAGUUGUGUGGGGAGUUUGAGGCUAGCCUGAGUUACACCAGAGCUUACCUAGAUGGGUGGGUACCACGAGUGCCGACCUGUGUUGAAGGGGGUGGGUGGGUACCACGGGUGCCCACCUGUGUUGAUGUGGGACUCUGGGGCUUGAGCUGCUUGCACACAGGAUAGGUUCUUAGGGUUCAUUUGUUCCCAAGGCACAACAUAUCUGUGGCUGGGAUGUGCGUCCCUAUCAUGAGCCCUGAGGAAAUGUGAUAGAACUUCUUCUGGGGGGCUUUGCACCUCAUAGACACCCCAAACUCUCGGGCUGAUGGCAGGGGAUGUUUGUCUAGAGUCACUGUCAAGAAUCUUCCUUCCAGCCAAAGCCGAUCCUCAGGCAAGUUUAUUUAACUUCCCUGAUCUCUUUCUGCCUUUUUGAACUGGGAAUAAUAAUGCCUCCCUUACCCAGUGGUGAUGAGAUAAGACCAAUGGGUAAAGUACAGGGCCUGGUACAAAGUACUGCAGCUAAAAAAAGAGGAAUAUUUCAGUCUCCCCCUCUCCUGUCCACACCUGUAGUCUUACCUCCCUCUUUCUCUUACUUUACUUUCUCUAUGUCCUAUCACCAACUAAUCCUUUAUUCUUAUUUGUUCAUUUUACAACUCACUUGAUUCCUGUGUUUGUUUUGAUCAUGGCCGUCUCCAAUGCCUGGCACCCCAUAGACCCUCCCUAGCAUUGUCGGAGGAAUGGAUGAAUGAAGGUGAUUUGAUCUAUAGACAUCUUUCCAGAUGAAAUCUCAUUGCUCACUAAGGGUUGUUAUGAGAGAACUUCAGGGCUGAUGCAGAACCAUGGUUCAGCACAGUAGAGACAGAGAGAGGUGUGGGAGUGGACUUCUUAGAGUUCAUAGGUGUGAGUCCAAAGUGCCAGGAAGAGAAAUGACUGAAGAACUAUCACCCCGAGGAAAAGCCACCUUUCAGGCUUUUAACACACAUUUUAAAAAUUGUAUCUACUUACAUGUGUGUGAGUCGGCUCUCUCCUUCCACCCUAUGGAUCUCUAGCAUUAAACUCAAAUUGUCAGGCUUGAUGACAAGUACCUUGAGUCAUGCCACCUAGUUUUAGUCUUUAUUAUCUGACUAAAGUCCAAGGUCACACUGAACCACAACUGUACACUCACCUGAUGGCAGUUGCCAGGAGGAGCAAAUGUUUGAAGUUGAACAGUUCCUCCUAUGGGGGUUCACGGUACUGUCAGCAGGGAGUAUUGUUCGGUCAAUGCCACCACCUGGUGGACGCCGUGAGCAAGGGAUUGGUGGUGGAAACCUAAUCAGUGCAGGAAGAAGGCGCUGGGGAAACUUCUGCCUUGGGAAGGGUGUGGGCGUGUGCGUGUGUGUGUGUGUGUAUGUGUGUGUGUGUGUGUGUGUGUGUGUGUUGUGUGUGUGUGUGUGUGUGUGUGUGUGUGUGUGUGUGAGUGCACGCGCACGCGGCUGCUGCUGAGAUUUUGGAUGGGAACAAGCAGGUUUAAUCCCUGUGGAGGGCACGGCCGGCACCAUGGGAAGUGAGAAAAGGCCUCAGGGGGAGGAGGAGGAAGCUGGAUUGUUCUAGGGCCUGUCAUCUGCCUUCCUUUCCCCAUUCCCUCCUCCGAGCAUGACUUAAGCCAGGAGGAACCAGUUCCCGGGAAGGCAGAGGUGGAGAGAAGGUCACUGCUGACGUCAAGGACUUUCAGAGACCAGAAGAGGGCAUGGGAUCCUUGGAAUCAGAGUCUCACAGGCAGCUGUGAGCUGCCUGACGUUGCUGCUGGGAGCUGAACUUGGGUCCGCUCUUAACCACUGAACCUCUCCAGCUGGCUCUCUUUCUGCUUCUGACUGUGGAUGUGACUAGCUGCUUCAAGUCCUGGCCUUGAUUUCUCCACAAUGAUGGUCUAUCACCUGGAAUUGUAAACCAAAUAAACCCUUUCUUCGUAAA
Molecule: long non-coding RNA, 3159 nt
Organism: Peromyscus californicus insignis
Lineage: Eukaryota; Metazoa; Chordata; Mammalia; Rodentia; Cricetidae
Exons: 3
Source: RefSeq, a predicted model, not a curated record